RNAcentral lists this long non-coding RNA (914 nucleotides) under Homo sapiens (human). RNAcentral describes it as "HSALNT0266432". The record is from RNAcentral. Lineage: Eukaryota; Metazoa; Chordata; Mammalia; Primates; Hominidae.
AGGCGUGGCGGCGCGCGCCUGCAACAGCAGGCACUGGGCGGGCUGAGGCAGGAGAAUCAGGCAGGGAGGCUGCAGUGAGCCGAGAUGGCAGCAGUACAGUCCAGCUUCGGCUCGGCAUCAGAGGGAGACCCUGGAAAGAGAGGGAGAGGGAGACCGUGGGGAGAGGGGGAGGGGGAGGGGGAGGGAGAGGGAGAGGGAGAGCACCGGGUGCAAAGUUUUAAUGUUCAGGAAAGAUUAGCCUUGUUCUUUUUUUUUUGAGAUGGAGUCUCACUCUGUCACCCAGGCUAGAGUGCAAUGUCGUGAUCUUGUGUCUGGAAUUGGUGGGUUCUUGGUCUCACUGACUUCAAGAAUGAAGCCGCGGACCCUCACAGUGAGUGUUACACUUCUUAAAGGCGGCGUGUCCAGAGUUUGUUCUUUCUGAUGGUCGGAUGUGUUCGGAGUUUCUUCCUUCUGGUGGGUUCAUGGUCUCGUCUCGCUGGCUGCAGGAGUGAAGCUGCAGACCUUCACGAUGGGAAAAUUGAGAUUCAGAAAGGCUAAGGACCUCAUCAAGUCACACAACCAAGUGACAGAGUUGGGAUUUGAACCUCAUCCUCCCUACUCCAAAACUCCUGCACUUUAAUGACCUCCUGAUGCCAGAGUUGAGAGUAGUGAAGUACGAAAAUGUCCUGGUGGCAGGGGACCCUCUCCAUAGAAUGCUGUGUGGUUGUUUUAAUAUGAAGAGACAGGUUGCUUCCCCCGCUGUCCCCAGAGGGACCAUCAUUCCCGCAGUUGUAGCUACAACUGCCAAGUGCCCGGGCGCAGCCAAAGAGGGAAAAAAACCCAAACCAUCCAGACCCUGAGGGAGGGUCCUUCAUGGAAACUCGUCACAAGUGCCGGGAAAGUGGAGUCUUUUAUUGAAAGUGGGAAUACUCAAC